This 279-nucleotide ribosomal RNA is filed under the name uncultured soil bacterium. Its description in RNAcentral is "partial 16S ribosomal RNA". It matches the Rfam family "Bacterial small subunit ribosomal RNA", at positions 26 to 311 of the family's 1533-position model. The record is from RNAcentral.
AGGUUGAACGCUGGCGGCAUGCCUAACACAUGCAAGUCGAACGGGAGUAGCAAUACUCUAGUGGCGGACGGGUGAGGAAUACGUAGGAAUUUGCCCUUAAGUGGGGGAUAACCCGGGGAAACCCGGAUUAAUACCGCAUGACCUCGAAAGAGCAAAGUGGGGGAUCGCAAGACCUCACGCUUUUGGAGAAGCCUACGUCGGAUUAGCUAGUUGGUAGAGGUAAUGGACUCACCAAGGCGACGAUCCGUAACUGGGUCUGACGAGGAUGGAUCGAGUCAC